Molecule: long non-coding RNA, 286 nt
Organism: Macrobrachium nipponense
Lineage: Eukaryota; Metazoa; Arthropoda; Malacostraca; Decapoda; Palaemonidae
Exons: 3
Source: RefSeq, a predicted model, not a curated record
AGGCUUUUCUCGGUCAUCAGAUCUUAUUUCUCUGUUUCUCUUUCGUUACGAAUCGAGCCAGAAAUGAUGAAUUCGAGGCAUUUAUUUUCCUUUUCCUCUUUCUAAGUAAACUUUUAUACUUUAUUUAUGUACUUUGCGGGAGACGUUUCCUUGAUCAACAGGAUGGGAGUCAUGAUAGACAAGCGGUGGAUGGCUUACCGGAUCGUAACUUCCUUAUUUGGAAUGUUGGUGACGUCACAGGCGCUCAACCUAACUCCCCCCGGGUAUGACCACCACCUACGACCUC